CCCCUAGUAACUGCGAGUGAAGCGGGAAAAGCUCAAAUUUAAAAUCUGGCAGUCUUUGGCUGUCCGAGUUGUAAUCUAGAGAAGUAUUAUCCGCGCUGGACCGUGUACAAGUCUCCUGGAAUGGAGCGUCAUAGAGGGUGAGAAUCCCGUCUUUGACACGGACUGCCAGGGCUUUGUGAUAUGCUCUCAAAGAGUCGAGUUGUUUGGGAAUGCAGCUCAAAAUGGGUGGUAAAUUCCAUCUAAAGCUAAAUAUUGGCGAGAGACCGAUAGCGAACAAGUACCGUGAGGGAAAGAUGAAAAGAACUUUGGAAAGAGAGUUAAACAGUACGUGAAAUUGCUGAAAGGGAAACGCUUGAAGUCAGUCGCGUUGGCCAGGGAUCAACCUUGCUUUUUUGCUUGGCUUACUUUCUGGUCGAUGGGUCAGCAUCAAUUUUGACCGGUGGAAAAAGUUCAAAGGAAUGUGGCAUCUUCGGAUGUGUUAUAGCCUUUGUUCACAUACAUUGGUUGGGAUUGAGGAACUCAGCACGCCGCAAGGCCGGGUUUUUAACCACGUACGUGCUUAGGAUGCUGGCAUAAUGGCUUUAAUCGACCCGUCUUGAAACACGGACCAAGGAGUCUAACAUGCCUGCGAGUAUUUGGGUGAAAAACCCGAGUGCGUAAUGAAAGUGAAAGUUGAGAUCCCUGUCGUGGGGAGCAUUGACGCCCGGAUCUGACCUUUUGUGACGAUUCUGCGGUAGAGCAUGUAUGUUGGGACCCGAAAGAUGGUGAACUAUGCCUGAAUAGGGUGAAGCCAGAGGAAACUCUGGUGGAGGCUCGUAGCGAUUCUGACGUGCAAAUCGAUCGUCAAAUUUGGGUAUAGGGGCGAAAGACUAAUCGA
Molecule: ribosomal RNA, 877 nt
Filed under: Laccaria bicolor
Lineage: Eukaryota; Fungi; Basidiomycota; Agaricomycetes; Agaricales; Hydnangiaceae
Description: LSU rRNA
Rfam family: Eukaryotic large subunit ribosomal RNA
Source: RNAcentral